GCCGAAGUGGCGGAAUGGCAGACGCGCUGCGUUCAGGGCGCAGUGGUCGAAACGGCCGUGUGGGUUCAAAUCCCACCUUCGGCACCA
RNAcentral lists this transfer RNA (87 nucleotides) under Chloroflexota bacterium. Its description in RNAcentral is "Chloroflexi bacterium (groundwater metagenome) tRNA-Leu". It matches the Rfam family "tRNA". Rfam says of the family: Transfer RNA (tRNA) molecules are approximately 80 nucleotides in length. Their secondary structure includes four short double-helical elements and three loops (D, anti-codon, and T loops). Further hydrogen bonds mediate the characteristic L-shaped molecular structure. tRNAs have two regions of fundamental functional importance: the anti-codon, which is responsible for specific mRNA codon recognition, and the 3' end, to which the tRNAs corresponding amino acid is attached (by aminoacyl-tRNA synthetases). tRNAs cope with the degeneracy of the genetic code in two manners: having more than one tRNA (with a specific anti-codon) for a particular amino acid; and 'wobble' base-pairing, i.e. permitting non-standard base-pairing at the 3rd anti-codon position. Lineage: Bacteria; Bacillati; Chloroflexota. The record is from RNAcentral.